Long non-coding RNA from Harpegnathos saltator (Jerdon's jumping ant), 605 nucleotides. RefSeq lists it as uncharacterized. Lineage: Eukaryota; Metazoa; Arthropoda; Insecta; Hymenoptera; Formicidae. The record is from RefSeq and is a predicted model, not a curated record. The transcript is spliced from 2 exons.
GAGUGUGUGUGUGUGGUGUACAAUCGCGCUCUUAUGGUCUAUUCUCUUUAGCUGCUGAACUGAUGUACACUGAUAUAAACGCCCAAUGCAACCAAAAAGAACAAACCACAUGUUACUGCGCAUGCUCUUCUAUCAGUGCAUCGUUGACACGACAGAUUUAUUAACCCCGAAAAGUGUUAAUCUUUAACGCGUUAUAUCUUUCGUCCUGUUGCAGAGCGACGUUUCUAACUUUCAUUUCUAUAUUCUACGUAUCGAAAUACAUAAUAUGACAAAGUUUCACUCGAUUUGGUGAGGAGGCCCGUUUUCUGCACAUUUACCGUAUUUUUAAAUAUUUUCAGAUAUUUCAAAUAACCUAACAUCACAUGUCACGUAUUAUGUGUCUGUAUCUCAAUCACUCAAUGCGCAGAGAGACAACAACCGAACAAUACCAUAAACAUAAAGGAGAAAUCUCACCACCGACAAAAUAAUAUUAAAGAUUGCCAGUGAUGGGUAAAUUUUUGUACCAGUAUGGGGGCCUCAAGGGGCCCGGGGAUAAUUAAAGAACGAUAAUAGACACGACUACGUGAACGACGUGACGACGGCGACCAAGUGGCCGACGACGACCA